AAAAACAUGUCCUCUUGAUUAUAUUUUGAGGUCUGGCCUGCUCACUGAUAAAUUUAAAGAGCCGCGGUAUUUUGACCGUGCAAAGGUAGCAUAAUCAUUAGUCUUUUAAUUAAGGGCUGGAAUGAAUGGCUUGACGAGAAAUUAACUGUCUCUUAAUAAUUUAUAAAAUUUAACUUUUGAGUCAAAAGGCUUAAAUUUUUCUUUAGGACGAGAAGACCCUAUAGAGCUUAACAUAUAAUUUAUAUUUAUACAUUAGAUGAUUUUUAUAUAUUUAAUGAUAAUGUUUUGUUGGGGUGACAUGAAGAAUUAAUAAACUCUUCAUUAUAAAAUCAUUAAUUUAUGUUUAUUUUUGAUCCAUAAUUUAUGAUCAUAAGAUUAAGUUACCUUAGGGAUAACAGCGUAAUUGUUUUUGAGAGCUCAAAUCAACAAAGCAGAUUGCGACCUCGAUGUUGGAUUAAGAAAAAUUUUGGG
Molecule: ribosomal RNA, 471 nt
Filed under: Ceracris kiangsu (yellow-spined bamboo locust)
Lineage: Eukaryota; Metazoa; Arthropoda; Insecta; Orthoptera; Acrididae
Description: partial 16S ribosomal RNA
Rfam family: Archaeal large subunit ribosomal RNA
Source: RNAcentral